This 60-nucleotide microRNA precursor is filed under the name Sarcophilus harrisii (Tasmanian devil). RNAcentral describes it as "Sha-Novel-13_pre stem-loop". The record is from RNAcentral. Lineage: Eukaryota; Metazoa; Chordata; Mammalia; Dasyuromorphia; Dasyuridae.
CAGGAGUACGUGUAGUCCCUCUCGUUAGUCCAUUCCCAGAGGGCAGAUACGACUCUUGGU